GUGGAGAGAAAACGCGAGGAAGAUGAUGAACAAUGAGUGCACGUAACUGUUACCUCACGUUCACAGUGCUUUAAUGCAGACAUUUAUAAGUUAGUUCCCUCCAUAACAGACGUCUACAGAAGUCAGUUCCCCUAACAACAAACGUCUAAAGUGCUAUAGAAGUCGGAGUGACAGGAUUAGACGUCUAAAUGGAGUCAAAAAAUGACUUUUUAAAUUUUCGAACUGAGUAUUUAGAAGUCGGUUCCCGCCAUAACAGACAUCUGUAGACGUCAGUUCCCCUAACAACAAACGUCUAAAGUGCUUUAGAAGUCGGAGUGGCGGAUCAGACGUCUAAAUGUAGUCAAAAAGUGACUUUUUAAAUUUCUGGACUGAGUAUUUAGAAGUCGGUUCCCACCAUAACAGACGUCUAUAGACGUCGGUUCCCCCCCACAACAAACGUCUAACGCCAAAAAGUGACUUUUUAUAUUUUUGGGUUGAGGAUUUAGAAGUCAGUUCCCCCACAACAGACGUAUAAAUGACUUUAGAAGUCGGACCCCCUCAUAGCCGACAUCUAAAUAGUUGUUUUAUUUACAAAAAAUGCCACCGGUCAUUUUUUACGUCUAAUAUUUGAGGAUCAGACAUCUAAAAGGUGAUGUUAAAGGCCUUUUUUGCACUAGUGAUGAAGCUAUACAAGCAUCGUAGAGCUCCACAACGUCGAGCUCAACAACAUGGACCUCAACAAUCUUAUAAUUUCCUUUAAGACAUUUAAUUCUAAAAAUGAAACAUCCAACAAAUUAUCAUGUUUCAAACUUUUUGAGAUUUUCUUAAAUACUACUUUGGUCCUGAUAACAACAUGCGAACUGUAUAUGUCACACGCCAGUUCGUGAUUUUUUUGCUAUUUUUUUUUUCAAUUUUUUAAUUUGUUUUAAUUUUUUAGAAUUUUAAUUUUUUUUCAUUUCAAUCCCUAUAUUUUUUAAGAUUAAAUAUAUUUUUGGUCCCUAUUAUCAUGCAAUUUUGGUUUUAGUCCCUCUUCAAAACUUUGAUUUUUUUUCGUCUCUCUAUUUUUAAAAAGUCCCUGAUUUAGUCCUUUAUGACUAACAUUGUUAGUUUUUUUUUUCUAACAUGGCUAAGAGUGUGUCAUGUUUUCAAGA
Molecule: long non-coding RNA, 1130 nt
Filed under: Vigna radiata
Lineage: Eukaryota; Viridiplantae; Streptophyta; Magnoliopsida; Fabales; Fabaceae
Description: long non-coding RNA (VRAD_LNC001689)
Source: RNAcentral